This 599-nucleotide ribosomal RNA is filed under the name archaeon enrichment culture DGGE band 1507cas 2. RNAcentral describes it as "bacterial SSU rRNA". It matches the Rfam family "Archaeal small subunit ribosomal RNA", at positions 243 to 846 of the family's 1478-position model. The record is from RNAcentral.
AACGGCCCGCCAAGCCGAUAAUGGGUAGGGGCCGUGAGAGCGGGAGCCCCCAGAUGGGCACUGAGACAAGGGCCCAGGCCUACGGGGCGCACCAGGCGCGAAACCUCCGCAAUGCGGGAAACCGUGACGGGGCCACCCCGAGUGCCCCCGUUACGGGGGCUUUUCCCCGCUGUAGGAAGGCGGGGGAAUAAGCGGGGGGCAAGUCUUGUGUCAGCCCGCCGCGGUAAUACCAGCCCCGCGAGUGGUCGGGACGAUUAUUGGGCCUAAAGCGCCCGUAGCCGGCUCGACAAGUCUCCUCCUAAAUCCCCGGGCUCAACCCGAGGAUUGGAGGAGAUACUGUCGAGCUAGGGGGUGGGAGAGGCCGAGGGUACUCCCGGGGUAGGGGCGAAAUCCUAUAAUCCCGGGAGGACCACCAGUGGCGAAGGCGCUCGGCUGGAACACGCCCGACGGUGAGGGGCGAAAGCCGGGGGAGCGAACCGGAUUAGAUACCCGGGUAGUCCCGGCUGUAAACGAUGCGGGCUAGGUGUUGGGUGGGCCUAGAGCCCACCCAGUGCCGCAGGGAAGCCGUUAAGCCCGCCGCCUGGGAGUACGGCCCNCNA